Molecule: unclassified non-coding RNA, 148 nt
Organism: Macaca fascicularis (crab-eating macaque)
Lineage: Eukaryota; Metazoa; Chordata; Mammalia; Primates; Cercopithecidae
Rfam family: Metazoan signal recognition particle RNA
About the family: The signal recognition particle (SRP) is a universally conserved ribonucleoprotein. It is involved in the co-translational targeting of proteins to membranes. The eukaryotic SRP consists of a 300-nucleotide 7S RNA and six proteins: SRPs 72, 68, 54, 19, 14, and 9.
Source: Ensembl
GCUGGGUGUGAUAGCACACACCUGUAGUCCCAGCUACUUGGGGGGCUGAGGCGAGAGGAUCGCUUGAGCCCAGGAGAUUGAGGCUGCAGUGAGCUGUGUUUGUGCCACUGCACUCUAGCCUGGGUGACAAAGUGAGACCCUGUCUCAA